GAUGAACGCUGGCGGCGUGCCUAACACAUGCAAGUCGAGCGAAGCACUUGCGAAUGAUCCUUCGGGUGAUUUUGCUGGUGACUGAGCGGCGGACGGGUGAGUAACGCGUGGGUAACCUGCCUCAUACAGGGGGAUAACAGUUAGAAAUGACUGCUAAUACCGCAUAAGCGCACAGUACCACAUGGUACGGUGUGAAAAACUCCGGUGGUAUGAGAUGGACCCGCGUCUGAUUAGCUAGUUGGUGGGGUAACGGCCCACCAAGGCGACGAUCAGUAGCCGACCUGAGAGGGUGAUCGGCCACAUUGGGACUGAGACACGGCCCAAACUCCUACGGGAGGCAGCAGUGGGGAAUAUUGCACAAUGGGGGAAACCCUGAUGCAGCAACGCCGCGUGAGUGAAGAAGUAUUUCGGUAUGUAAAGCUCUAUCAGCAGGGAAGAAAAUGACGGUACCUGACUAAGAAGCCCCGGCUAACUACGUGCCAGCAGCCGCGGUAAUACGUAGGGGGCAAGCGUUAUCCGGAUUUACUGGGUGUAAAGGGAGCGUAGACGGCAGCGCAAGUCUGAAGUGAAAGCCCGGGGCUCAACCCCGGAAUGGCUUUGGAAACUGUGCAGCUAGAGUACCGGAGGGGUAAGCGGAAUUCCUAGUGUAGCGGUGAAAUGCGUAGAUAUUAGGAGGAACACCAGUGGCGAAGGCGGCUUACUGGACGGUAACUGACGUUGAGGCUCGAAAGCGUGGGGAGCAAACAGGAUUAGAUACCCUGGUAGUCCACGCGGUAA
RNAcentral lists this ribosomal RNA (777 nucleotides) under uncultured bacterium. RNAcentral's name for it is "bacterial SSU rRNA". It matches the Rfam family "Bacterial small subunit ribosomal RNA", at positions 28 to 805 of the family's 1533-position model. The record is from RNAcentral.